GUGUAGGAGGUUGGGUAAGUCAGGUGUGAAAUCUCAGAGCUUAACUCUGAAACUGCGCUUGAUACUGCUCAGCUAGAGGAUCGGAGGGGGUAACGGAAUUCAUGGUGUAGCAGUGAAAUGCGUAGAUAUCAUGAGAAACACCGGUGGCGAAGGCGGUUACCUGGAAGAUUCCUGACUCUGAAACACGAAAGCCAGGGGAGCAAACGGGAUUAGAUACCCCGGUAGUCCUGGCCGUAAACGGUGUGCAUUGGGCGUAUGCGGAUUCGACCCCGUAUGUGUCGUAGAUAACUCAUUAAAUGCACCGCCUGGGAAGUACGGUCGCAAGAUUAAAACUCAAAGAAAUUGA
Molecule: ribosomal RNA, 346 nt
Filed under: uncultured bacterium
Lineage: Bacteria
Description: bacterial SSU rRNA
Rfam family: Bacterial small subunit ribosomal RNA
Source: RNAcentral